CCCUUAGAUGUUCUGGGCCGCACGCGCACUACACUGACAGGGCCAGCGAGUACAUCACCUUAACCGAGAGGUUUGGGUAAUCUUGUUAAACCCUGUCGUGCUGGGGAUAGAGCAUUGCAAUUAUUGCUCUUCAACGAGGAAUGCCUAGUAGGCACGAGUCAUCAGCUCGUGCCGAUUACGUCCCUGCCCUUUGUACACACCGCCCGUCGCUACUACCGAUUGAAUGGCUCAGUGAGGCCUUGGGAUUGGCUUAGGAGGGUUGGCAACGACCCCCCAGAGCCGAAAACUUGGUCAAACUCGGUCAUUUAGAGGAAGUAAAAGUCGUAACA
RNAcentral lists this ribosomal RNA (329 nucleotides) under uncultured eukaryote. Its description in RNAcentral is "partial 18S ribosomal RNA". It matches the Rfam family "Eukaryotic small subunit ribosomal RNA", at positions 1470 to 1796 of the family's 1831-position model. The record is from RNAcentral.